GGCGGGCGGGCCGAGCGGAGCCGAGCGGAGCCGAGCGGAGCCGAGCCGGGCCGAGCCGGGCCGGGCCGGGCCGGGCCCAGGAGCGCGGGCGAUGAGGGCGGCCAGAGCAGAAGCGCCCGGGCCCUGAACUCGCGCCGGCCUCAAGGGAGCCGGCCGGCAUGGCCGGGGUCAGCUACGCGGCGCCCUGGUGGGUGGGCCUGCUGCACCGGCUGCCCCGCUUCGACCUGCGCUGGGAGGCCACCAGCAGCCAGUUCCGGCCCGAGGACACCGACUACCAGCAGGCCCUGCUGCUGCUGGGGGCCACGGCGCUGGCUUGCCUGGCGCUGGACCUGCUUUUCCUGCUCCUCUACUCGUGCUGGCUGUGCUGCCGCCGCCGCAAAACAGACGAACACCUGGACGCAGACUGCUGCUGCACAGCCUGGUGUGUCAUCAUCGCCACGCUGGUGUGCAGCGCUGGCAUCGCGGUGGGCUUCUAUGGCAAUGGGGAGACCAGUGACGGCGUCCACCGGGCCACCUACUCCCUGCGCCACGCCAACCGCACAGUCGCUGGGGUCCAGGACCGAGUAUGGGACACUGGGGCAUCCCUGAACCACUCGGCAGAGCCUAGCCUGCAGAGCCUGGAGCGGCAGCUGGCCACGCGCCCCGAGCCCCUGCGUGCCGUCCAGCGACUCCAAGGGCUGCUGCAGACGCUAGUGGGACACACGGCCGCCAUCCCCUUCUGGAGGAACUCGGGCGUGUCUCUGGACGCCCUGGCCCAGCAGGUGGAUCUCUAUGACUGGUACAGGUGGCUAGGUUACCUGGGGCUGCUGCUCUUGGAUGUGGCCAUCUGCCUGCUGGUGCUGGUUGGACUCAUCCGAAGCUCCAAGGGUAUCCUGGUCGGGGUCUGCCUGCUGGGCGUCCUGGCCCUGGUCAUCAGCUGGGCCACGCUGGGCUUGGAGGUAGCCGUGUCUGUGGGCUUCAGCGACUUCUGUGUGGAUCCGGACACGUACGUGACCAGGAUGGUGGAGGAGCACUCUGUGCUGAGCAGGGACAUCCUGCAGUACUACCUGGCCUGCUCUGCCCGCGCCGCCAACCCCUUCCAGCAGAAGCUGUCACGCAGCCACAAGGCACUGGUGGAGAUGCAAGAUGUGGUGGCCAAGCUGCUGCGGACGGUGCCCCAGGAGAGCCCGGCCAGCAAGGACCCCCUGCUGCGCGUGCAGGAGGUGCUGAACGGCACGGAGGUGAACCUGCAGCAACUCACAGCCCUGGUGGACUGUCGCAGCCUCCACCUGGACUACGUGCAGGCCCUGACCGGAUUCUGCUACGAUGGCGUGGAGGGUCUCAUCUACCUGGCCCUCUUCUCCUUUGUCACCGCCCUCAUGUUCAGCUCCAUCGUCUGCAGUGUCCCCCACACCUGGCAGCAGAAGAGGGGCCCGGAGGAGGACGGGGAGGACGAGGCACGGGGCCCCCGGCAGCCCCACGACAGCCUGUACCGCGUGCACAUGCCCAGCCUGUACAGCUGUGGCAGCAGCUAUGGCAGUGAGAGCAGCAUUCCCGCCGCGCCCCACACCGUCAGCAACGCGCCUGUCACGGAGUACAUGAGCCAGACCACCAACUUCCAGAACCCUCGCUGUGAGAACACCCCCCUCAUCGGGCGUGAGUCCCCGCCACCCUCAUGCCCAGGACCCUGGCGGCCAGGCGGGCUGGCCUUUUAAGCCCACGGACAGUGCCGGGUGGCCAGGGUGGCCAGGCCCGCAGAGUGACAGUACACUUCCAGCAUGAGGGCUAAAUACCUCGCCACGAGCCAGCCUCGCCCCGACUCCAGUGGAAGCGGCCACUAGCCACCCGCCAGCCCGACUGCCGCGUGCCAACACCCCACUCCAUGCAGCUCGGACAGCCCCGCCCGCCUCCCCCCUUUCCCACAGGGCAUGGAGACCCGCACCCUGACUCGGCCCACUCCUAGAUGCUUCGUUCCCCCCUCAUCCCACAGCACGCUGGCCUUGAACCCGUCUACAGCUUCCUCCCCGCAGCCCCCACGAACAUCCGUGGCUUCUCAGCCCACAGGUCCCUUCUGCAGGCUCCAGUGAGGGAGCGCCCCCUCUCCCUCCCCACCUCGCUCUCCACACAGCACCCCUGCCCACCCCUUGCAGGUGGAGGCAGCUGGAGCCCCACCCUCUCGGUGCCAAACAUCCCCCCCCCCCCGCCUGACCCUAACCUGAUUUGUCACCUGCAGGGCUGCAGUACUGGCUGUUCCCCACCCCCCCAUUCCCUUUGCAGCUGGACAGGCCAUACCUGGAGCCUGGUUGAGCUGACCAUGAUACAUACACACACACACACACACCCAGGACUAACCACUGCCCUGCCCUCCCCACCCUGGGCCUCCAGGUGGGAGAAGGGCUGAAGGAGCCACUUUCUGGGUGCUGGGGGUGGGGGGACUCUGUGACUCAGAGUGAGCGUCCCUGGGGCCCACCCCCACCCCCCUGUGACAGAUGCCCCGAAGGUGCUCUUGGCAUUAGUGUACAAUGUUUGCUGUGUCCUGAUUGGGUGGGGGUGGGGGCUCCCCACUCAGGACGCGGGCCUGGUGUUUGAAGCCGGGCCCACGGGGACUCCCCCUCCGGGGGACCCCCCUUUUCUCUGUGCUGGUGUCUGGGACCAAAAGGAUAAGUGGCCACUGGCUGGGUGCCCCAAUCCUGGGCACAGCCUCUGACCUGGGAGGAGAUGGAGAUGGGCAACUCAGGGGUGUCCUGGGGCCCAGUUAGGCCUCGGUUCCCCUGGGGGGCACUGUGACCCAGACCCCCAUGGGGUGUCGGCCCCCCCAGAAGCACAAGGCCACCUCAAUGUGAAUGUAUAUAGCAUUAGAGGCCCAGCCUGCCCAAGGCCGGCAGGGGACAGGGUGCAAGCCCCAGCCUCCCUGGUGGGGUGGGGUGGGCUGUUUUCUCCUCUUAAGUUUUCGGGGUCUCCUUCCUAGCCACUGUAAUCUCAGACCCCCACUCCCAUAUCCACUGACCCCCCAGGGCAGCAAGGGCUAGGUUAGCAGGGAGAUGAGGGCCAGCUGGGACAGAACCCUCAGCUGGGAGGCAGGUGGGGGAGGGUGGAGAAUGCCCUAACUGGCCUGCCAUCCUACCCCACCUCACUAUGCAAUUCUGGUCCAAACCCCCCUUCUGUCCACAGGAGCCGGGUCCAGUCCCUGGGGGUGGGGGUGACCCCUGGCCCCUCUGGGUUGUGGCAUGGGGCAGGGAACCAGAGCUUGUGAAUGGGGGUUUUGUUUUGUUUGCACCUGAGGUGUGUCACCACUUUCUGUACAUCACAUAGAAUGCCUACCAUUCUGCCCCCUCUCCGCGCCCACCCUGACCCUGGGGCUGAGGCGGAGGCUGUCCCAACCUACCCAGGACCCUGUCUCUAUGUGCUGUCGCUGUGGGUUUUUUUUUUUUCUUCUUUUUUUUAAACUGGGCUGGGGGUUGGGUUCUCAUUCUUGGGGGCUGAAGGCGGGGGGGGGGCUUUAUUUUUCUUGGCAAAUACUGAGAAGACCUCGUCCGUGUAAUUUCUGUGGUUUCUAUUCAGUUUGGGUAUCAUGUUUUAAAAUAAAAUUGUUUUGAAAAGCA
This is an RNA transcript of Erinaceus europaeus (western European hedgehog), 3581 nucleotides long. It is a transcript of the gene named tweety family member 3, with no coding region annotated. The record is from RefSeq and is a predicted model, not a curated record. NCBI's taxonomy places the organism in Eukaryota, Metazoa, Chordata, Mammalia, Eulipotyphla, Erinaceidae. The transcript has 15 exons.